This 546-nucleotide ribosomal RNA is filed under the name Apodemus peninsulae (Korean field mouse). RNAcentral describes it as "partial 16S ribosomal RNA". It matches the Rfam family "Bacterial large subunit ribosomal RNA", at positions 1815 to 2588 of the family's 2925-position model. Lineage: Eukaryota; Metazoa; Chordata; Mammalia; Rodentia; Muridae. The record is from RNAcentral.
AUCACCUCUAGCAUAAAAAGUAUUAGAGGCAUUGCCUGCCCAGUGACUAGAGUUCAACGGCCGCGGUAUCCUGACCGUGCAAAGGUAGCAUAAUCACUUGUUCCUUAAUUAGGGACUAGUAUGAAUGGCUAGACGAGGGUUCAACUGUCUCUUAUUUCCAAUCAGUGAAAUUGACCUUUCAGUGAAGAGACUGAAAUAAAUUAAUAAGACGAGAAGACCCUAUGGAGCUUUAAUUUGUCAGUUUAAUUAUUACUACUUAUUAACCUAAUGGUUUAUCUAUCAAUAAUCUAAACUUAAAAUUUCGGUUGGGGUGACCUCGGAGAAAAAAGAAUCCUCCGAAUGAUUAUAACAUAGACCUACAAGUCAAAGUAAACAACCUUAUCUUAUUGAUCCAAUUCUUUUUUGAUCAACGGACCAAGUUACCCUAGGGAUAACAGCGCAAUCCUAUUUAAGAGUUCAUAUCGACAAUUAGGGUUUACGACCUCGAUGUUGGAUCAGGACAUCCCAAUGGUGCAGAAGCUAUUAAUGGUUCGUUUGUUCAACGAU